UACGAAGGGGGCUAGCGUUGUUCGGAAUUACUGGGCGUAAAGCGCACGUAGGCGGACAUUUAAGUCAGGGGUGAAAUCCCAGAGCUCAACUCUGGAACUGCCUUUGAUACUGGGUGUCUUGAGUAUGGAAGAGGUGAGUGGAAUUCCGAGUGUAGAGGUGAAAUUCGUAGAUAUUCGGAGGAACACCAGUGGCGAAGGCGGCUCACUGGUCCAUUACUGACGCUGAGGUGCGAAAGCCAGGGGAGCAAACGGG
This 253-nucleotide ribosomal RNA is filed under the name uncultured bacterium. RNAcentral's name for it is "partial 16S ribosomal RNA". It matches the Rfam family "Bacterial small subunit ribosomal RNA", at positions 524 to 776 of the family's 1533-position model. The record is from RNAcentral.